UGGAUUUAAGGAGGGUGAUUAAAAAAAGAGAAGUUCAGCUUGUUUCAUACAGCUGUUGCUGCUUACCCCAGGGCUCUGCAGAGCCUUUCUGCCAUGUUUCUCUCAUCCUUCUGCUGGUUCUUCAGGUGCUCUUGAAACCUCUCCCUGGUUCCUUCAUUUGGUACCAUGGUUCUCUUCCAUUUUGAUCAUAUAGCAAGGAAGUGGGGUGUGAAGAAUGGAGCAAAAAGACCAGAGGCUUUUCCUUGGACGUUUGCAUCUCAGCCAUAGCAGCCUAAGUCUGCUAGCCUUGAAGCCAUUAAUAAAUCUGCCUUUCCAAGCAAACAGAAGCAAAUGUCCUCUCCUUCUGUAUCAAAUCCCUAGAGGAUAUGUGAAAUGCCUACUUCAUGUCUAGCCAAGGAAGGGAGGGCAAAAAAAACGCUUCCUGAGGACACAUCAGUCUCCACAAGGACCGGUCUCCAAAAGACAGCUGGACAGAAUGGUGUAGGGAAAACACCAUGGGCAACAAAACUUUCAAAAUGUGCAUCUUCUGGAGUUGCUGUGAAAUAACACUGCUUUGGUCUACGUGUGCUCUCAGAAGUAUGUGGGUUACUUGUCCGAAACUGUCACGUUUCCUCCUGGAAUGGGAUUUCACAUCAUAGCUCUCAAAGCCACUGCACUGGACCAGGGUAGAGGCUCUCUGGGUGUGUUUAUAUUUCUCUCCAGUGCAUCGCAGAUGAGCACGUGUUUCUGAGAAGAGCCCAUUUAAAUCUUUCACCCCUGGAGCCAUCCACUCAGCAUUUCCCUUGGCACUUCAACUGAUUAAACUAUAUCUUGUUUGUCAGAGUCAUUCCUUGUCUGUUUUCUUUAGCUCCCUUCUCUUAGCCAAGUCAUAAAUCUGGAUUUGUAGCUCAUAUUGUUCCUAGAGAAGCAGACUGCGAAAGUGCAGACAGAGGGUUAUGACUUCCCUGAGGGAAGUAGUUGAGAGGAAGAGCUGCCCUAUCAAGUGGAAUAAAUGCAAAGCAGUAGUCUGAAAAUAAUGGAUGACUGAAUUGAGUUGGAAGGAGAUCAUCCCUGUUUUAAGUACUGUCUUCAGAGGAAAGCCCUUUAACUUAUGCACUUUCCCCUCUGAGAUCUGACUGUUCUGGGAUUUGAUCCAUAUUAGCUAUUUCAUCAUUUGCAUUGACUUAUUUCUUUGGAGAUGCUUUCCUCCCCUCCUUCCCCCACCAAGUCAUUUAUGAAUCUGAGCUACAAGGAAGCGAUUCCUCAGGGACUGUCUCCGUUUUGGAGCAAAGUGACUGCACAGGUCAGAUUGCUGUGACCUUGAAGAUCUCAGUGCAAAGGCUUGCAAAAAGCAAAGACAAGCAGCAUGGAUUUCUUGUGUGCUGUUUUGGGUUUGGAUGGAGUUUGGGGUCGCUAAUUAGCUCCCAUUUGCAAGGAGCAAAUGUAAGAGUCAAUGUGGUAGCACUGCUGUUUACAGCAGCUGCAACCUGCUGUAGGGUUCUCUCUGCCUCACUUGAGU
Long non-coding RNA from Numida meleagris (helmeted guineafowl), 1498 nucleotides. RefSeq lists it as uncharacterized. Lineage: Eukaryota; Metazoa; Chordata; Aves; Galliformes; Numididae. The transcript is spliced from 3 exons. The record is from RefSeq and is a predicted model, not a curated record.